Oxyura jamaicensis (ruddy duck) is the source of this 1765-nucleotide long non-coding RNA. RefSeq lists it as uncharacterized. The transcript has 4 exons. The record is from RefSeq and is a predicted model, not a curated record. Lineage: Eukaryota; Metazoa; Chordata; Aves; Anseriformes; Anatidae.
CGGGCGCUGCCUCAGCGCUCCCUCCUCGCCUGACCCGGUAGUGAAGGCCGAGAGAGAGGCUGCCUGGCACGGCCGGCAGAAGGCGGAGAGCGGCCGGGGCCGGGGGGGCGGGCGGGCAGCCGCAGAGCCCCGCAGCCGCCCCACUCCCCCCCCGCCCGGCCCCGGCCGAGAGGGGGCGCCCGUGGACAAAAUGGCGGGGGCUGCGCUGAGGGUGCCGCGCCCGGCAGCAGCUGCGCCGCACCCCUCAGCCGGUCUCGCGUCUCCCGUUCCCCCCUCACCGCCUCCCUCCAGCCCUCAAACACGGUCCCAUCCCGGCCUGGUUUCAGUCGCAGGGCUCCGGCCUGCGAGGGGCCAUGAGGGGCAGGGCGGGAGUGGAGAGGUGCCCAUCCCUUGAGGUUCCCCCAUUCCCCUCAGCAGUGCCCGGGUUCAGGGACAUCAGAGCCGUGCCUGCCUGGGCACCGUGAGGUUGCCAUGGGCCGAUGGGGUUUAGGAAAUGGUGUAAUAUCUGCCCGGGGUCCUGAGGAAGAAGGAUGGCGUGGAACGGGUAGACGGGUCAGAAGCUCGGCUUGUGACAAGCAAGGAUCCUGUAACAGGCUUCAAGUAGUGGCGAGAAAAACAACAGACAGCCAUUUACUUCCAAGAUCUCGAUGUACGCAGAGCGCUCAGUGGUUUCCCGUUCUGAGGUCUCGCACUUCAGAUUAUUGAGUUGUAUUGUACAUGGGCAUGUUUUUUAAUGCAGGUUACUGUGGUCACAAGGGAUGGCUAGUAUCACAGCUGAGGUUCCUAUGGAAACAGUCCUUUAUGUGAUCAUGCUUGGCUGUGUCUCCUCUACUUCUCCAAUAACUUUUGAAGCUGUUGGGUAGUUUCCACCAAAUUUAUCUCAAAUAUAAUUAAGUUAUUUCAUGAAAAUAGUCAGCUGGGUAGAGCUGAGAGAUCCUGUAAAUGUCCCAAAGGCUGCAACACAAACUUACCUUUUAUUAAACAGUGAUUCACAUGGAUGAGAGACUGUAGAAAUGUCUCAGUAAUGACAAAAGUUUCAAUUACAGCUCAUUAUCGGUCUCAGUAUAAAUCUGCGGGAAACCAGAGUUCUUGGGUUCCUGUUCUCCCAGAAUUACUUGUUUAAUGUCCUCCAGUCAGAAGUGGGUGCAAGUGGAAGGGGUACAUGAAGAGGGAAAGAGAUAAAUGAGAAAUUACAAAUGUCUAUUCUGCAAGUCAUUUCAUCUGCUUUGUUGUGUGGGCCUGGCCAUAAAGCUCAGUAUGACAGGGGCUUAACAAAACUGAGAUUAAAGGGAAAAAAAAAAAAAAAAAAAAAAAAGGGGGGGGGUGGAGAACAUACACAUAGAAAUACAAGAUGCAUUAGGACAGACAGCUGAAGAUGAGAAGGAAACUAAAGGCGCUUGGAAUGGGAAGGUGCUGAGGGGUUUUCACAGUGGGACAGAGAUUACAGCAAUGGUAUCCUCUUCUGAAUUCUCCUCUGAGGAGAGCCCCGCUGCUGCUAGAAGCAGGCUCUCUGGUUUUACAAAAGUCAGAAGAGAUGGGACUGAGACUAAGGUACUUGGAAAGAAAGCAAGAGAAUGCUCAAGAGUUGAUUAAGGUGAGACAACGAAAACUUGUUGGAGGUCAAAAACUUCCCCAGGUACCAAGUUCUGGGAGAGGAGCUAUCAAAAUAAAUUUGGUAUUUUCAUCAAUAAUAACUAACAGAAUGGGACUGCAUUGUGUUGCCAGGUCACUGAUGCUGAAAGUCCAUUCAUAGAUGACAUUUUAG